This 250-nucleotide unclassified non-coding RNA is filed under the name Melitaea cinxia (Glanville fritillary). Its description in RNAcentral is "misc RNA ENSMCXG00005021325.1". Lineage: Eukaryota; Metazoa; Arthropoda; Insecta; Lepidoptera; Nymphalidae. The record is from RNAcentral.
AGCAUAUUUUACAAACAGGCUCACGAAAAGGAUUAUGAUAUAUGCAGUGAAGAAGAUCCGUCGUGUGAGUACUACGUCAAUCUCGGUGUCGCCUUCCCUCACCGUUCGUUAACAGAAACAAUCAUUGUAAGAAAUCACAGCCCACUCAACUAUAACUACUACUGGAGCUCGAGGACCUGGGGUGUUUGCUGUUGUUGGAACUAUUCGGGGAACUUACUCAGUGACGAUGCAAGCGAUGACGAUUUGUGUC